RNAcentral lists this ribosomal RNA (863 nucleotides) under uncultured Bacteroidota bacterium. RNAcentral's name for it is "bacterial SSU rRNA". It matches the Rfam family "Bacterial small subunit ribosomal RNA", at positions 60 to 929 of the family's 1533-position model. The record is from RNAcentral. Lineage: Bacteria; Pseudomonadati; Bacteroidota.
AGUCGAGGGGUAUAGUUCUUCGGAACUAGAGACCGGCGCACGGGUGCGUGACGCGUAUGCAAUCUACCUUUUACAGAGGGAUAGCCCAGAGAAAUUUGGAUUAAUACCUCAUAGUAUGCAGAGUUGGCAUCAACACUGCAUUAAAGUCACAACGGUAAAAGAUGAGCAUGCGUCCCAUUAGCUAGUUGGUAAGGUAACGGCUUACCAAGGCUACGAUGGGUAGGGGUCCUGAGAGGGAGAUCCCCCACACUGGUACUGAGACACGGACCAGACUCCUACGGGAGGCAGCAGUGAGGAAUAUUGGACAAUGGGCGCAAGCCUGAUCCAGCCAUGCCGCGUGCAGGAUGACGGUCCUAUGGAUUGUAAACUGCUUUUAUACGAGAAGAAACACUGCUUCGUGAAGCAGCUUGACGGUAUCGUAAGAAUAAGGAUCGGCUAACUCCGUGCCAGCAGCCGCGGUAAUACGGAGGAUCCAAGCGUUAUCCGGAAUCAUUGGGUUUAAAGGGUCCGUAGGCGGUUUAAUAAGUCAGUGGUGAAAGCCCAUCGCUCAACGGUGGAACGGCCAUUGAUACUGUUAAACUUGAAUUAUUAGGAAGUAACUAGAAUAUGUAGUGUAGCGGUGAAAUGCUUAGAGAUUACAUGGAAUACCAAUUGCGAAGGCAGGUUACUACUAAUGGAUUGACGCUGAUGGACGAAAGCGUGGGUAGCGAACAGGAUUAGAUACCCUGGUAGUCCACGCCGUANACGAUGGAUACUAGCUGUUGGAAAGCAUUUCAGUGGCUAAGCGAAAGUGAUAAGUAUCCCACCUGGGGAGUACGUUCGCAAGAAUGAAACUCAAAGGAAUUGACGGGGGCCCGCACAAG